UACGUAGGCAGCAAGCGUUGUUCGGAGUUACUGGGCGUAAAGGGUGCGUAGGCGGCUUUUUAAGUUUGGUGUGAAAUCUCCCGGCUCAACUGGGAGGGUGCGCCGAAUACUGAGAGGCUAGAGUGCGGGAGAGGAAAGUGGAAUUCCUGGUGUAGCGGUGAAAUGCGUAGAUAUCAGGAGGAACACCGGUGGUGUAAACGGCUUUCUGGACCGUAACUGACGCUGAGACACGAAAGCGUGGGUAGCAAACAGG
Molecule: ribosomal RNA, 253 nt
Filed under: uncultured bacterium
Lineage: Bacteria
Description: partial 16S ribosomal RNA
Rfam family: Bacterial small subunit ribosomal RNA
Source: RNAcentral